RNAcentral lists this ribosomal RNA (253 nucleotides) under uncultured bacterium. RNAcentral's name for it is "partial 16S ribosomal RNA". It matches the Rfam family "Bacterial small subunit ribosomal RNA", at positions 524 to 776 of the family's 1533-position model. The record is from RNAcentral.
UACGAACUGUGCGAACGUUAAUCGGAAUUACUGGGCGUAAAGCGCACGCAGGCGGUUUGUUAAGUCAGAUGUGAAAUCCCCGAGCUCAACUUGGGAACUGCGUUUGAAACUGGCAAGCUAGAGUCUUGUAGAGGGGGGUAGAAUUCCAGGUGUAGCGGUGAAAUGCGUAGGGAUCUGGAGGAAUACCGGUGGCGAAGGCGGCCCCCUGGACAAAGACUGACGCUCAGGUGCGAAAGCGUGGGGAGCAAACAGG